RNAcentral lists this ribosomal RNA (253 nucleotides) under uncultured bacterium. RNAcentral's name for it is "partial 16S ribosomal RNA". It matches the Rfam family "Bacterial small subunit ribosomal RNA", at positions 524 to 776 of the family's 1533-position model. The record is from RNAcentral.
UACAGAGGGGGCAAGCGUUAUUCGGAAUUAUUGGGCGUAAAGGGCGCGUAGGCGGCCAUUCAAGUGACGGGUGAAAGCCCUCGGCUUAACCGAGGAACUGCCUGUCAGACUGGAUGGCUUGAGACCGGGAGAGGUGAGUGGAAUUCCCGGUGUAGUGGUGAAAUGCGUAGAGAUCGGGAGGAACACCAGUAGCGAAGGCGGCCGGCUGGGCCGACCCUGACGCUGAGGCGCGAAGGCGUGGGGAGCGAACGGG